AGAGAGCAAAUUAGAAUCCAAGGAAGUUGACAUGUCAUCACUUCAUUUUUUUGCGCCUGCGCAUAAAUCUGAGAAACGUGAGUUUUGUCUUCAUUGUUUAUCUAGACAUAGGAUAGGUUGUGUGAAAAUAUUACUGAUGUUUAACGUUAAAAAUGGACCAAAAGAUUAAUGCUAAACAACAUUUGACAUGUUUGAACGAACAUAAAUAGAUUAUUUACUAGGUUUUUUUAGCUUUUCGGCGUGAUUUUACAGUCCCCCCACCACGUUUUGUGGGAGCAUAAUGAACGCUAAGUACUUGGUGUUAUUUGGACAUAAAUUAUGAACUUUGUCAAAAGAAACCACAUUUGUUCCGGACCUGGGAUGCCUUCCGGACCUGGGAUGCCUGCCUUCUGAUGGAGAUAAUCAAAGAUCUAUCCAUUACCUUCGACACCGUGAACCAUCAGAUCCUCCUUUACACCCUCUCAGGGCUGGGCAUCUGAGGCUCUGCACACUCUUGGAUUGCAUCCUACCUGGCAGACGGCUCCUACCAGGUGACGUGGCGAGGAUCUGUGUCUGCACCACGUACUCUCACUACUGGUGUCCCCCAAGGCUCAGUUCUAGGCCCUCUUCUCUCUACACACCAAGUCAUUCGGCUCCAUCAUAUCCUCACAUGUUCUCUCCUAACAUUGCUAUGCGGAUGACACUCAACUCAACCUCGACAAGACGGAGCUGCUCUUCCUCCAGGGAAAGCCUGCCCGCUCCAAAACCCUACACCCUAACCCGAGUACUCCGUUCUGCCACCUCAGGUCUCUUGGCUCUCCCACCCCAAGCUUUUCUCUGUCCUGGUACUCCAAUGGUGGAACCAGCUUCCCCCUGAAGCUAGGACAGCAGAGUCGCUGCCCAUCUUCCGAAAGCACCUGAAAAUCCUUACCUUUUCAAAGAGUAUAUUAAAUAUACCCCCCCCCCCCCACACCCCAAAACAAAUUCCUGAACCAACACUUGCACUUGAUUUAAUCCCCCUCCUCGCUUUGUAGUGAUGACUUUGCUGAUAGCUACUUUAUUACGGAAAAGUAUACUUACUAUGCCUGUGAUAUCUGGUUGUCCCACCUAGCUAUCUUAAAAUGAAUGCACUAUCUAGAUAAGAGUGUCUACUAAAUGACUAAAAUAUAAUAUAAAAUGGGUGUGAAUACUUAUGUAAAUGAGAUAUUUCUGUAUUUCAUUUUCAAUAAAUUAGCAUGUUUUCACUUUGUCAGGGUAUUGUGUCAAGAUGAGUGAGAUUUAAAAAAAAAAUGAUUCAGGCUGUAACACAACAAAAUGUGGAAUAACUCAAGGGGUAUGAAUACUUUCUGAAAGCACUGUAUAUAUUAAUGUGGAUGAUUCAUUUUGAGCCCAGGAAUAGGUCAACUGGGCUAAACUGCAUUGUGAAUAAUUUAAGAUUCUAUUAACAUUUAAAGUUGACAUUGAUUUGACACAGUCAGGCCUCAGUGAUAUGAUAAGGUGCAGGGAGGGAACAGAAAGCUGUGCUAUGAUAAUUGCCCAGAUGGCUUUUGUUUGUUUAAUGUCAUCUUUCUCAGGUCUGUUAUUGUACUCGUCAAGAGUGGAUAUCGGAUAAGUGUUCUUGGUCUGCAAGCUAUUGAGGUUCACAUUUAAGCAACUAGCGUUGCUUAGUGACAGCUCUGACUCCAGCUGACCGCAGCCUGCCACCAGCGCUCCCCUGGGAUCCCGCACUACACCGAGAGCCAAUCAGCAUCUGAUUAGAGGAAGCAGCCCAUGGAGAGGAGAGGUGUCCAUCUACC
RNAcentral lists this long non-coding RNA (1775 nucleotides) under Salmo salar (Atlantic salmon). RNAcentral describes it as "lncRNA (ENSSSAG00000106798.1)". Lineage: Eukaryota; Metazoa; Chordata; Actinopteri; Salmoniformes; Salmonidae. The record is from RNAcentral.